UAAGACAGAGGUGCCGAGCGUUAGGCGGAAUCACUGGGCUUAAAGCGUGUGUAGGCGGACGGGUAAGUACCUUGUGAAAUCCCACGGCUCAACCGUGGAACUGCUGGGUAUACUGCCUGUCUUGAGUCAUCUAGGGGCGAGCGGAACAAAUGGUGGAGCGGUGAAAUGCGUAGAUAUCAUUUGGAACGCCAAUGGUGAAAACAGCUCGCUGGGGAUGUACUGACGCUGAGACACGAAAGCCAGGGGAGCAAACGGGAUUAGAUACCCCGGUAGUCCUGGCCCUAAACGAUGUCGACUAGAUCGUGGUGCCUCUGACGGUAUCACGGUCGAAGCAAAAGUGCUAAGUCGACCGCCUGGGAAGUACGGUCGCAAGGCUA
Molecule: ribosomal RNA, 377 nt
Filed under: uncultured bacterium
Lineage: Bacteria
Description: bacterial SSU rRNA
Rfam family: Bacterial small subunit ribosomal RNA
Source: RNAcentral